CCUACGGGAGGCAGCAGUGGGGAAUAUUGCACAAUGGGGGAAACCCUGAUGCAGCGACGCCGCGUGAGUGAAGAAGUAUUUCGGUAUGUAAAGCUCUAUCAGCAGGGAAGAAAUAAAGUCCUUUGGACUUUGGACGGUACCUGACUAAGAAGCCCCGGCUAACUACGUGCCAGCAGCCGCGGUAAUACGUAGGGGGGCAGGCGUUACCCGGAUUUACUGGGUGUAAAGGGGCCUUAGAGGGCAGCGUAAGGUUGGAGUGAAAUCCCAUGGUUUAACCAUGGAACUGCUUUGGAAACUGUGCAGCUAGAGUGCAGGAGAGGUAAGCGGAAUUCCUAGUGUAGCGGUGAAAUGCGUAGAUAUUAGGAGGAACACCAGUGGCGAAGGCGGCUUACUGGACUGUAACUGACGUUGAGGCUCGAAAGCGUGGGGAGCAAACAGGAUUAGAUACCCGGGUAGUC
RNAcentral lists this ribosomal RNA (458 nucleotides) under uncultured bacterium. Its description in RNAcentral is "partial 16S ribosomal RNA". It matches the Rfam family "Bacterial small subunit ribosomal RNA", at positions 338 to 795 of the family's 1533-position model. The record is from RNAcentral.